This 524-nucleotide ribosomal RNA is filed under the name uncultured Bacteroidota bacterium. RNAcentral describes it as "bacterial SSU rRNA". It matches the Rfam family "Bacterial small subunit ribosomal RNA", at positions 38 to 550 of the family's 1533-position model. The record is from RNAcentral. Lineage: Bacteria; Pseudomonadati; Bacteroidota.
UACGGCAGGCUUACACAUGCAAGUCGAGGGGUAACAGAGGGUGCUUGCACCUUGCUGACGACCGGCGCACGGGUGCGUAACGCGUAUGCACCUACCUUUUACAGGGGGAUAGCCAGAGAAAUUAUUGGAUGUAAUAACCCCCUAUAAGCUCUACUGAGCAGUAUCUCUAUAUAGAGGAAAACUUUGGUGGUAAAAGAUGGGCAUGCGUCCAAUUAGCUAGAUGGAGAGGUAACGGGUCCCCAUUGCGACGAUAGGUAGGGGUCCUGAGAGGGAGAUCCCCCACACUGGUACUGAGACACGGACCAGACUCCUACGGGAGGCAGCAGUGAGGAAUAUUGGACAAUGGAGGCAACUCUGAUCCAGCCAUGCCGCGUGCAGGAAGACUGCCCUAUGGGUUGUAAACUGGGUUUAUACAGGAAGAAACCUAUCUACGUGUAGAUAGCUGACGGUACUGGACGAAUAAGGAUCGGGUAACUCCGUGCCAGCAGCCGCGGGUAUACGGAGGAUCCAAGCGUUAUCCGGAA